GACGAACGCUGGCGGCGUGCCUAAUACAUGCAAGUUGAGCGCUGAAGGUUGGUACUUGUACCGACUGGAUGAGCAGCGAACGGGUGAGUAACGCGUGGGGAAUCUGCCUUUGAGCGGGGGACAACAUUUGGAAACGAAUGCUAAUACCGCAUAAAAACUUUAAACACAAGUUUUAAGUUUGAAAGAUGCAAUUGCAUCACUCAAAGAUGAUCCCGCGUUGUAUUAGCUAGUUGGUGAGGUAAAGGCUCACCAAGGCGAUGAUACAUAGCCGACCUGAGAGGGUGAUCGGCCCCAUUGGGACUGAGACACGGCCCAAACUCCUACGGGAGGCAGCAGUAGGGAAUCUUCGGCAAUGGACGAAAGUCUGACCGAGCAACGCCGCGUGAGUGAAGAAGGUUUUCGGAUCGUAAAACUCUGUUGGUAGAGAAGAACGUUGGUGAGAGUGGAAAGCUCAUCAAGUGACGGUAACUACCCAGAAAGGGACGGCUAACUACGUG
RNAcentral lists this ribosomal RNA (497 nucleotides) under uncultured bacterium. RNAcentral's name for it is "partial 16S ribosomal RNA". It matches the Rfam family "Bacterial small subunit ribosomal RNA", at positions 28 to 507 of the family's 1533-position model. The record is from RNAcentral.